GCGGCUAUAGUGUAGCCCGGUCUAGCAUUCGGGACUGUCACUCCUGCGACGCGGGUUCAAAUCCCGCUAGCCGCGCCA
Molecule: transfer RNA, 78 nt
Filed under: Promethearchaeota archaeon Loki_b32
Lineage: Archaea; Promethearchaeati; Promethearchaeota
Also listed under: 5 other names
Description: Candidatus Lokiarchaeota archaeon Loki_b32 tRNA-Asp
Rfam family: tRNA
About the family: Transfer RNA (tRNA) molecules are approximately 80 nucleotides in length.
Source: RNAcentral